CCCUAGCUGGUCUGAGAGGAUGAUCAGCCACACUGGAACUGAGACACGGUCCAGACUCCUACGGGAGGCAGCAGUGGGGAAUAUUGCACAAUGGGCGAAAGCCUGAUGCAGCCAUGCCGCGUGUAUGAAGAAGGCCUUCGGGUUGUAAAGUACUUUCAGUUGUGAGGAAGGGGGUGUCGUUAAUAGCGGCAUCUCUUGACGUUAGCAACAGAAGAAGCACCGGCUAACUCCGUGCCAGCAGCCGCGGUAAUACGGAGGGUGCGAGCGUUAAUCGGAAUUACUGGGCGUAAAGCGCAUGCAGGUGGUUCAUUAAGUCAGAUGUGAAAGCCCGGGGCUCAACCUCGGAACUGCAUUUGAAACUGGUGAACUAGAGUACUGUAGAGGGGGGUAGAAUUUCAGGUGUAGCGGUGAAAUGCGUAGAGAUCUGAAGGAAUACCAGUGGCGAAGGCGGCCCCCUGGACAGAUACUGACACUCAGAUG
This 480-nucleotide ribosomal RNA is filed under the name Vibrio chagasii. RNAcentral's name for it is "bacterial SSU rRNA". It matches the Rfam family "Bacterial small subunit ribosomal RNA", at positions 281 to 753 of the family's 1533-position model. Lineage: Bacteria; Pseudomonadati; Pseudomonadota; Gammaproteobacteria; Vibrionales; Vibrionaceae. The record is from RNAcentral.